Molecule: ribosomal RNA, 465 nt
Filed under: Vreelandella stevensii
Lineage: Bacteria; Pseudomonadati; Pseudomonadota; Gammaproteobacteria; Oceanospirillales; Halomonadaceae
Description: partial 16S ribosomal RNA
Rfam family: Bacterial small subunit ribosomal RNA
Source: RNAcentral
CCUACGGGGCGCUGCAGUGGGGAAUAUUGGACAAUGGGCGAAAGCCUGAUCCAGCCAUGCCGCGUGUGUGAAGAAGGCCUUCGGGUUGUAAAGCACUUUCAGUGGGGAAGAAAGCCUUGGGGCUAAUACCCUCGAGGAAGGACAUCACCCACAGAAGAAGCACCGGCUAACUCCGUGCCAGCAGCCGCGGUAAUACGGAGGGUGCGAGCGUUAAUCGGAAUUACUGGGCGUAAAGUGCGCGUAGGCGGUCUGAUAAGCCGGUUGUGAAAGCCCCGGGCUCAACCUGGGAACGGCAUCCGGAACUGUCAGGCUAGAGUGCAGGAGAGGAAGGUAGAAUUCCCGGUGUAGCGGUGAAAUGCGUAGAGAUCGGGAGGAAUACCAGUGGCGAAGGCGGCCUUCUGGACUGACACUGACGCUGAGGUGCGAAAGCGUGGGUAGCAAACAGGAUUAGAUACCCCAGUAGUC